Molecule: microRNA precursor, 78 nt
Filed under: Mus pahari (shrew mouse)
Lineage: Eukaryota; Metazoa; Chordata; Mammalia; Rodentia; Muridae
Description: miRNA (MGP_PahariEiJ_G0006563.1)
Source: RNAcentral
AUGACCUGUAUGUAUUUAUUUACUUAUUUCUGUGUGUGCAGACCCAUGCACAUACGCAUGUAUACACGGAUGCAUACA